RNAcentral lists this ribosomal RNA (802 nucleotides) under uncultured bacterium. RNAcentral's name for it is "bacterial SSU rRNA". It matches the Rfam family "Bacterial small subunit ribosomal RNA", at positions 202 to 994 of the family's 1533-position model. The record is from RNAcentral.
GAUCUUCGGACCUUGCGCUAAUAGAUGAGCNUAAGUCGGAUUAGCCAGUUGGUGGGGUAAAGGCCUACCAAGGCGACGAUCUGUAGCGGGUCUGAGAGGAUGAUCCGCCACACUGGGACUGAGACACGGCCCAGACUCCUACGGGAGGCAGCAGUGGGGAAUAUUGGACAAUGGGCGCAAGCCUGAUCCAGCCAUGCCGCGUGUGUGAAGAAGGCCUUAUGGUUGUAAAGCACUUUAAGCGAGGAGGAGGCUACUGAAGUUAAUACCUUCAGAUAGUGGACGUUACUCGCAGAAUAAGCACCGGCUAACUCUGUGCCAGCAGCCGCGGUAAUACAGAGGGUGCAAGCGUUAAUCGGAUUUACUGGGCGUAAAGCGCGCGUAGGCGGCUAAUUAAGUCGAAUGUGAAAACCCCGAGCUUAACUUGGGAAUUGCAUUCGAUACUGGUUAGCUAGAGUGUGGGAGAGGAUGGUAGAAUUCCAGGUGUAGCGGUGAAAUGCGUAGAGAUCUGGAGGAAUACCGAUGGCGAAGGCAGCCAUCUGGCCUAACACUGACGCUGAGGUGCGAAAGCAUGGGGAGCAAACAGGAUUAGAUACCCUGGUAGUCCAUGCCGUAAACGAUGUCUACUAGCCGUUGGGGCCUUUGAGGCUUUAGUGGCGCAGCUAACGCGAUAAGUAGACCGCCUGGGGAGUACGGUCGCAAGACUAAAACUCAAAUGAAUUGACGGGGGCCCGCACAAGCGGUGGAGCAUGUGGUUUAAUUCGAUGCAACGCGAAGAACCUUACCUGGCCUUGACAUAGUAAGA